UGGGCAACCUGCCCCUAGCUCUGGGAUAACUGCGGGAAACUGUAGCUAAUACCGGAUGUGACACGAGACUGCAUGGUCUUCGUGUGGAAAGAUUUAUCGGCUAGGGAUGGGCCCGCGGUCUAUCAGCUUGUUGGUGGGAUAAUGGCUCACCAAGGCGACGACGGAUAACCGGCCUGAGAGGGCGACCGGUCACACUGGGACUGAGACACGGCCCAGACUCCGUAGGA
RNAcentral lists this ribosomal RNA (227 nucleotides) under uncultured bacterium. RNAcentral describes it as "partial 16S ribosomal RNA". It matches the Rfam family "Bacterial small subunit ribosomal RNA", at positions 118 to 346 of the family's 1533-position model. The record is from RNAcentral.